GUGGCGCGUGGUCUGGAAGGCUGGUGUUGACAGUGGAGGGAAGCCACCACUGAGCGACAGAAAUCUGAGUCUGAAAUAUCCUUCUUCUUACGUGUCCAGCAAACUUUCCACCCCAGGAAGUUCUGGAAUCUAGACAGUUUGCUUCUUUCCUCUGGUUCCAUUUCUCUGCUCUCAUCCACUCCUCUUGCUGGCAGGUCUCAAGUCUCCUCUUAUUUCCUUACCCAAGGCCUCCCAGCCGCCCUCCAGGCCUCCAGGCCAUGGCAGGGAGGGGCUGUGGCUUCCAUACCCAAGCUGGCCAUCGAUGCACUUGGCCGUGCAAAGACCCUCAUCUUCCUAGAGGAACGCGGGGACCAGGUUUCAGUUGAACACGUUUUCCUGCCUCACUGGCCUGUGAGCCUCUCAAGGCUCUGGGCUGGGUGGAUUCAGGCCUCUGACUCAGGGCCCAGCCUUAUUCCAGUGAAUGUCCAAGGAAAGAAGGAUGAAUUGGCCGCACUCCUUGCCCUUCCGGAUCCGGCUGCCCGCCCCACCUCCCGGACCCAGCCUCUCAGGUCAGCAGUGUGGUGCAAGGCAGAGGCAGGGCUGGGAGGCAGGAGACGGGGCUGCGGUCCCAGCCCUCCAUCUUACUCACCUCUCCUGGCCUCACCUCGUCUCCUCAUCCGGGAGCGGGUGUGUCAAUUAAAGCUCUUUAAAAGCAAGUGACAGAGACCUGCUUUGGCUUAGUGAAGCGAAACAAGAAAAAAGGGGCUGCAUCGGGAGGAUCUGGGGCUGCCCACAGAAUGGGAGGAGGCGCUAAACUAGGCCUCAGAAAGGCCAGAACCCGGGGCCACUCCAGGGAUCCGGGAGCAGGGACCCGUGAACCGCAUCUAAGGCUAGUUCCCUAAAUAAUAACCCAGGCUCUGUUGUCGGAAGAAGAGAGCAUGGCUGCGGCAGCCCCAGACAGCUCCUGUCCACGUCCCACAUCAGUGAGGAGGCGGGCCCACCGGGGCGCCUGAAUCGAGUGAGCUCUGAUGGGGAAGCUCCGUGCAGGCUGCCAAGCAGCCCGAGACGCACGGGAGCAUCGUGUGUCCGUCUGUCCCUCCCAUCCAGGGCAGGGACGCAGGGGGAGCACGCCAGCUUCUCGUCCUGGCUUUGCCACUGACUGGUUAUGUGUCCUUGGGCAAGUCACUCUUCCUCCCGGACCAGAGUUUUGUCAUCUCUCGAAGACAGUGAUCAUCUCUAAGACCAGUCCUCAGCUCACUAAGGUGUUCGCAGCCCAUCCCAGGGGAAUUUGAGAAAUUAAAAGAUGUUCCUGGCAGCAACCACUUCACCUGAGGGAAUGAAUCAUAAAUGAUGGCACUUCAGGCUGCUGUGAAGAAGAUAUCAGGUGACAUCAAGUGGAAAAACACCCCCCUCCCCCAGGAACCCACGCAGGAAGACGGGCAGCGCGGGCACAGCGCCCCCACCUGGGGCUCCAGAACAUCUGCCGUGAGGGGCUGCAGAGAGUCCCUGCUCUGGGGCGAGAGGUUGGUCCCAGUUGAGAUUUCAUUUGCUGGAGGGCUUCCAGGCAGAGGAAACACAGCUGGCCCUCAGGAGACACGGGCCUCUGGACCACGUGUGUCACAGUGCCUUUGUUGAAGGAACACACAGAUUUGUGACAGCAGAUCGAGGCUCUGUGCAAAGAGAACAUCAGUUCUCUCCCGGCCUCAGUGUCUGCAUCUGUCAGAUGGGGAUAAGGUCAUUGUGCCAACCUCAUGGGGCCUUUCUGAGGACCCCCUGGGACAAUAGAGCUGAAAGAAAACCUGAGGACACAGAGGGCCAGGGGCCGAAGAAGGGCUAGAACAUGUGCUCCACAGGGCGGGGCCUGAGUCUGUCCGUGCACUGCUGCGUCCUCCGUGCAACGCGGGCUCCGGCACACAGCAGACGCUCGAAAAUUGUCUGUUGAGGAUGAAUAGCUGACACGCAAUACGGACUUGUGCAGCAAGCCCUGUUCUGAGAGUUUUCCAUGCACGCACGCUUCAUCCUGACAAUAAUACAGGUACUGUCGUCCCCAUUUAGAGAUAAGGCAACUGAGAGACAGAGGGAUUAUGUCACCUGCCCAAGGCCAGGCGGCUCGUAAGAGCAGGGCUGGCUUCCACCUCCCGCAGGCCGGCUCCAGGUCUGUGCUGUCACACAGAGUGCUCCUGUCUGAGUGCUCCUGUUUGAGUGCUCCUGUCUGGAUGCUCCUGUCUCAGUGCUCCUGUCUAGAUGCUCCUGUCUGAGUGCUCCUGUAUGAGUGCUCCUGUCUGGAUGCUCCUGUCUGAGUGCUCCUGUCUGGAUGUUCCUGUCUGGAUGCUCCUGUCUGAGUGCUCCUGUAUGAGUGCUCCUGUCUGGAUGCUCCUGUCUGAGUGCUCCUGUCUGGAUGUUCCUGUCUGGAUGCUCCUGUCUGAAUGCACCUGUCUGGAUGCUCCUGUCUGGAUGCUCCUGUCUGGAUGCUUUGCUUACGCAUGAGCGAAGGAAGAAGCUCGUGUGGGUAUUUAUGAAUGAGGUUUGGGAUUCCUCGUCUCUUUGCUUUGGGAAGAGGGUCUGAAGCUUCCAGCAAGGAUUCCUGUUUUUCACUCAUCUGUCAGCAGCUUCUGGUAUUUACAGAAAACACUUCGCAAAUGCAACAACAAAACUGGCCUCAUCAUCUGUCUCCAAACCUGGCAUCCUCUUCCCCUCCUCCCGGUGGCAGCUCGUGCUGUCACUGAGGACGGGUGCCCCAGACAGAAACUUGGAGUCAUUUUUGACACCCUUCCCUCUCUCCCCUGGACAGUCUCCUCAAGGUCACAGCAGAAACUGUCUCACAGCAAGUUCGUCCAGCUGUCACCCCUGUCAUCUUCCAGCUCUGACUCCCUGGGUCUUUGACAGCUUUAAGUGAGGGCUGAAGCCAAAAGGAAGGACAGACACAGAGUUUGCUGGGUGUUCAGCUCCAUGGCAGGAGCUCCCACAUACACGGACUCCUUUCACCCUCUCAACAACCCUGUGAGGUGGGAAUUACCAACCCCAAUAUCCACAUGGGGAAACUGAGGGUCAAAGAGGGGAAGGGACUUGCCCAAAGGAUGUACGCAGCAGAGCUGUGUCCUAAUGUGCAAUCAGCAGGAAAACGGUGGGGAAACGCCCGGAAGGCGAAGAAUAAGAAUCUGUAAACAAUGAACAAAGAAUUGGGGCGGGGGUAGCAGCGCAGGGAAGCGCUCACAGGAAAAUCAGGAUCCGCAGAGAAAACGUUUGCAGAAACCAAAGCUAAGAAUGACCCCAACCACCAGUGACCCGGGAGGGGCGGGCCGCUGUCGUCAGGCAGCCAUUCUAGGCUUGGCCGGCCACCCACGGGGGAGGGGGCCAGUGUGAAUGCUCUGGCCAAUAGGGGCGGCCAUGACAAGU
Equus caballus (horse) is the source of this 3375-nucleotide long non-coding RNA. Lineage: Eukaryota; Metazoa; Chordata; Mammalia; Perissodactyla; Equidae. The record is from Ensembl.